ACAUACAUGUGUGUAGUAUGCGCGAUCAGAAGAAGAAGCCAGGAGAGAGCUCAAACCCUAGUUCAGCAAAUCCUCCAAAUCGAAGCUCAAAUCAAGCCCGAAUCGUCUGCAUGAUUACAAAUUCGUGAUCGCCUAGUCGUGAGGAUCAUAAGUUGACUCUAAACAAGCUAGGUGGGAGCUUGAAAAGGAACGGGUCAAACGGAUCAUGGAUGCGAAGAAUGUUUGUGCGGACGUGAGGGUAAAACGGCUUAUGGAAUUUACAUGGCUAUGAAUCAGCAAAUUAUUAAGGCAAGGUAUUAAAACGGGUCAAUACUUUGACCCGCGCCAGGUACAUUUUGGAUGCCGGAAGACGAUCAAGCUCGACGAAGGACCGAACACAAUAUAGAUACAUGCUUCCGCACUUUAACACUUUGUAAAUUUUAAACAACGAAUUCAACCACGUUAUGUAGAAUAACUUAUGAAUUGUAAAAGUUUUAAUAAAUUCGUAUUUUUAUAGUAUGUGUAGGCUUAACUACACAUCUAAUUGUUGGUGUUUACAUAUAAAAUUGUUAAUUAGUAACUAGGGUGUUACAAGUUGGUAUCAGAGCCCUGGUUUAAGAGAUUCAAGUA
Long non-coding RNA from Helianthus annuus (common sunflower), 609 nucleotides. RefSeq lists it as uncharacterized. The record is from RefSeq and is a predicted model, not a curated record. The transcript is spliced from 4 exons. NCBI's taxonomy places the organism in Eukaryota, Viridiplantae, Streptophyta, Magnoliopsida, Asterales, Asteraceae.